This 437-nucleotide ribosomal RNA is filed under the name uncultured bacterium. RNAcentral's name for it is "partial 16S ribosomal RNA". It matches the Rfam family "Bacterial small subunit ribosomal RNA", at positions 28 to 507 of the family's 1533-position model. The record is from RNAcentral.
GACGAACGCUGGCGGCAUGCCUAAUACAUGCAAGUCGAACGGACUUUCCUGAUUGCUGUGGCGGACGAGUGUGUGCGGCGUACGAGUGUGUCACAGGUAGGCAAACUACCGCUGAAAACGGCUUCUCAUUCCGCGAAGACUGCUGAGAACGGGGAGGAGUCCGUCCGAGGAGGGGGGGGCGUCUGAGGAGCUACAAGGUGAGGCAAUAGCUUACCCCGGCGGUGGACUGGAGAGGGUGCGAGGGGAUGAUCGGCCAAACUGGGACUGAGGGACGGCCCAGGCACCUACGGGAGGCAGCAGUGAGUAAGACGCCGCAAUGGGCGAAAGCCUGACGGAGCAAUGCCGCGGGGAAGUAGAGGGCCCACGGGUCAUGAACUUCUUUUCCAGGAGAAGAAGCAAUGACGGUAUCUGGGGAAUAAGCAUCGGCUAACUCUGUG